This 99-nucleotide transfer RNA is filed under the name Cellulomonas aerilata. RNAcentral's name for it is "tRNA-Ala". Lineage: Bacteria; Bacillati; Actinomycetota; Actinomycetes; Micrococcales; Cellulomonadaceae. The record is from RNAcentral.
CCAGCGGGUGGAAGAACGGCGCGAUGCCCUGCACGUCGCGCGUGCGGGUCCGCGGCGCCUUGCGGAACCAGGUCUCGUUGAGGGCCAGGACGCUGGCCC